Molecule: ribosomal RNA, 310 nt
Filed under: uncultured eukaryote
Lineage: Eukaryota
Description: partial 18S ribosomal RNA
Rfam family: Eukaryotic small subunit ribosomal RNA
Source: RNAcentral
CCCCUAGACGUUCUGGGCUGCACGCGCGCUACAAUAAUACGCACAGCGAGUAUCACCGAGCUCGAAAGGGCAAGGUAAACAAUAGAAAAGGUACUGUAAUGGUUAUAGAUCCUUGUAAUUAUUGAUCUUCAACGAGGAAUUCCUAGUAAGUAUGUGUCAUCAUCACGCACUGAUUACGUCCCUGCCCUUUGUACACACCGCCCGUCGCUCCUACCGAUUGGGGAGCCGAUGAAACUCUCGGAUGUAGGCUAUUCAUAGCCCGCAGAAGAGAUUUGAAUCGUAGCGCUUAGAGGAAGGAGAAGUCGUAACA